GCCUUUGCGGUGUAGUGGUCAGCACGUUCGACGCGUAUUCGAGAUGUUCUAGGUUCAAAUCCUGGCGAGGGCA
RNAcentral lists this transfer RNA (73 nucleotides) under Stegodyphus mimosarum. It matches the Rfam family "tRNA". Rfam says of the family: Transfer RNA (tRNA) molecules are approximately 80 nucleotides in length. Their secondary structure includes four short double-helical elements and three loops (D, anti-codon, and T loops). Lineage: Eukaryota; Metazoa; Arthropoda; Arachnida; Araneae; Eresidae. The record is from Rfam by way of RNAcentral.